AUGGGUGGCAGUCGCAGCGGCUCCCCACGGAGGAAAGGUAGGCGUUCCCGGUCCACAUCCCGUGAGAGAGAACGCAGGCUCCAAGAAAGGUCCAGGUCUCGGGAGAGAGAUGGGAGAAGGAACCGCUCGCCAACCCCGCACCUAGGACGCUCCCGAUCUCCAAGACGACAUAAAUCCACAUCUCCUUCCCCUUCUCAGCCGAACGAAAGAAGAGAUGAGGAAAAGAAAGAAACAAAGAGCAAAGAAUGGCAAAUUACUGAGGAAGACUUAGAGGGCAAAACAGAGGAAGAAAUAGAAAUGAUGAAGUUAAUGGAAUUUGUCUCCUUUGACUCCACAAAAGGUGAGAAGGUGGAUUGCUCUGUAAAUGCCUAUGCCAUAAUUGUCUCUCAGAAGAGGAAGUACGGGCAGUAGAUGAAUCGAAAAGGUGGAUUCCACAGACCUUUGGAUUUCAUUGCAUGA
This 459-nucleotide long non-coding RNA is filed under the name Homo sapiens (human). RNAcentral's name for it is "non-protein coding lnc-ZCCHC10-1:1". The record is from RNAcentral. Lineage: Eukaryota; Metazoa; Chordata; Mammalia; Primates; Hominidae.